CGGGUGGGGUGUGGAGCCCGGGGUGCAGGGGUAAGGCCGGGCACCAGGGGGGGAUGUGGAGCGUGAGGAGCUGAGGAGCAGGGGUAAGGCUGGGCACUGGCGAUGGGGUAUGGAGCCCGGGGUGCCUCCAGCUUCUGAACAUCGGGUCCUGCUGCAGCCAGUGGUGGCGGCGCCAGUGGGUGGAGGAGUUCUUCCCAUCCGUGUCCCUGGGGGACCCCACGCUGGAGACGCUGCUCAGGCAGUUUGGACUACAGGAGAAAAGCCCACCUCGCACCCGCAGCGCCAACAGCACCCUGGCCCAGGCCCUCCACUGGACUCGCUCUCAGCUGUCUCCCCUGGAGGCCCCCGCCCUGCUCUGGGGGCUCCUCAUGGCCGUGGGGGCUGUCAGAUUUGUGCAAGCCCUGCUAGCACCCUGUUCUCUCCGGUCCUCCCCGCUGGCACCAGUCAGCGGGGAGAAGCGCAGGCCAGCCUCCCAGAAAGACUCCGGAGCUGCCUCCGAACAGGCCACCGCAGCCCCCAACCCCUGCUCCAGUAGUUCGAGGACCACCCGGCGAAAGAAGUAGCUGUGUUCUCCCAGCUGCACGUCCUGAGAGGGCCAGGUCGCCGGGAGUGCUCUGGCCUCCGGCAGGACAGGACCCAGCCACUGUGCCUUAGCUGACCCUGCAGGGCCAGGCACAGGUUGGGGGGCUGCCCCUGGGGUUUGCAGGGUGCUGCAUUGAGGGCUCCAGGCCCCACCCCCACGCCAGCCAUGCCCCUCCCCAGGACUCCCACUAUUGCCUCUGUGAUUGGCCCAGGAGGAAAACACGACCAAGCUCAAGACCCUUCCCCUGCCCUGGGCUGUGGGGGUCUGAGUCUAGAGCCCCCAACCCUAGGCCCCGUGCCAGAGGGGAAGAGGCUGACUCCCAGGGGAAGAGGGGAAGCACUGUCAUCUUCCACGUCAUCUUCACACCAGCCCAUCCUGCCCUUUAGAUCUGGGCACCAAUAAAGGCGUCUUUUGUGCUUG
RNAcentral lists this long non-coding RNA (1003 nucleotides) under Homo sapiens (human). Its description in RNAcentral is "long non-coding RNA NONHSAT193051.1". Lineage: Eukaryota; Metazoa; Chordata; Mammalia; Primates; Hominidae. The record is from RNAcentral.